UUCAUGUAACUUGCUUGUGCCCUCAGGA
This 28-nucleotide non-coding RNA is filed under the name Mus musculus (house mouse). The record is from RNAcentral. Lineage: Eukaryota; Metazoa; Chordata; Mammalia; Rodentia; Muridae.